UUCCAAUAUUUGUAUUUUGUGUAUCAACAUGUAACCGGAAGUUGAAACUAGAGUAAGAAGUAACAACGAACAUUGGUUUCUCAGUUAAUUUUCUCAAGAUCGAGCAGUAAAUAAGAAUCAUGAAAAAGACAUUAGCAGGUUCUAUACAUAAACUAUUUUUUUGUCUUGUGUUGGUACAGACGGUGCAUAAGGUUUUUUACUUGUGCUUUCACCCUUCCAAAAUUUAUCAUGAAUAAUUGUAUGGCAUGUUUUCUCCUAUAUAUUACAAUAACAUUCGAUGUCUAGUAUGCUCAAGAUCAUCUGGUCUGUUUUGAGCCAAUAGCUGCUACAUUUGUUCAGUCUUAAACUCCUAAUGUUACUUUCCAUUCUAUUUCCUUAUGAUUUUUUUAUUGUCUGACUGUCGAGUAUGUAACAGUUUUGCUCUCUAAUUUGUUUGUCCAUACCCUUUGAUUUAAUCUCUUUCAUUAUUUUUUGAUUUAGGAAGAAUUGAACAAACAUCACACAUUAUCACUCAAUGUAAGAAAUUGAAUAAUAUUCUUCCAAAUGAAGUGGUACUAAUCCCUUCCAUAUUUUGUUGUUGUAUGCACAUCAACCUAUAAAUUAAAUAUUGGUCAACACCUAUUUGAGGUCUGAUUUUUUUAGUUUGCAAUCCAUCUUGAGUAGGAGCAAAAUUCAAGAUUCGGGAUCUACGAGAGAUGCAAGAGCUUUUGUUCUUAUAAAGGGACCAAUGAUCCGUUGCAUGGAAAUUACACGGAAUAGGAUCAUCACAACAAGGAGGCUGAAGCAGGACGUUAAGGUUAUCAAUAAAGGCAAGAGAUUCUACUUAUUCUUCUGAAUAAAGAGGGUAACCUUGAAGAGAAGCUUGCAACUUAAGCUAUAACCAAACAUUAUGAAAAGAGGUCUCACGCUGUGAAUAUUUAGUUGAUGCACUAGUGUUUUUAGAUGUUGCGCCUCUGUUUUCAUUCUCUUUUGAUUCAUGUAUGUAAAUUUGAUGGAAUUGUAUCCGAUGUAUGUGAAUUUUUAACUCCAUGGUUGAUGGAAGCUAUUGAUAGUGAUGUUUCUCUGUUCUAAACAUUCAGAGUAAUAAAAUAGCUAUGUGU
This is a long non-coding RNA of Triticum aestivum (bread wheat), 1100 nucleotides long. RefSeq lists it as uncharacterized. NCBI's taxonomy places the organism in Eukaryota, Viridiplantae, Streptophyta, Magnoliopsida, Poales, Poaceae. The transcript has 3 exons. The record is from RefSeq and is a predicted model, not a curated record.